AGCAUUGCAGAUGAGAAAUCUUCACUAAUAUUCCUAUUGGUAGCUCCUUUAGAUGCCUUGACCUUAGACGAAAAUAUCUAAGGUUUUGUAACAUUUCUAUACCAUGAGGAAGCUCUUCAAUUCCUGUACCAUAAAGGUCCAACUUUCUCAGUGCUCUGAGCUCUGCUAAUGAAGGCACAUAUUUUAACCUGCCACAACUAGCAAGUAUCAAUGCAUCGAGGUUUUUCAAGUUAGAGAUGGAAUUGGGUAGAUCCUCCAAGUAAUAAUUACUAUAAAGAUUUAGAACUUUUAGUCUAGGCAUGUGCUUAAAGAAAGAUUCAGGAAUACUUUUUAAGCCACAUUGUUGCAAAAUCAAAGUUGACAAAUGAGGACACUCAGGUGAUAUGUGAGGAGGGAUUUCUAUUAAUUUUGAAUUUUGCAUCAAAGAAACCUUCUCAACACUCACUGUCCAUUCUUGCUCACUUGGGAAUUCUUUCAAUUGCAUACCUGCUUUUACCAUGAACUGAUGACCUUUAAUAUACAACGCCAUGUCCCUCAAAACAUCAUGCAUCUUAACUCCUUCUUUGCGACUCCUAGUUGUAGCCCUCUCUAGCAAGCAAUUAUUUUCAAGCUUAUUUAAAAUGCUAUGGCCUCUGUCAUGCAUUUCUUGUCUAGUCCUUAAGCCAUCAAGGAGUCCUUCAUCUAUCCAAUUUUCAAUUAAUUCAACUUCUCCAAUCACAAAAUCUUCAGAAUACAAGGAGCAAUAUAAGAAACAAUUUUGAAUUUUUGGAUCUUUCAAAUAGUCAUAACUGAACUUCAAACGCUCAAAUAUUUCAACAUCCGAUCCUUUCACACUUUUCACACGCUCUUUUAAUUCCAUUAAUGCAUUUCUCCACUCACAAAUAUCAUUUACCCCCUUCAUGCUUCCAGCUAUUGUGACAAUGCUAAGUGGUAAACCACCACAUUGCUCAACAAUUUUGUUGACAAUGUCUUUUAAAUUUUGAUCUUGUACAACACCAUGCCCCACACGAUCUAAGAAUAAGUUCAUGGACUCUGUCUUUGAAAGCGGUUGCACUUUGACCACCUUACAAUCCAUAGAUUGGCAGACCUCAAUCAAUCUACUAGUGAGUACAACUUUCCUCCCCAUACCUAUUGUUGGUUCAGGGAUACCCACAUCCAAUAGAGAAAACCGUUUCCAAACAUCGUCUAAGAUCAACACAUAUCUUUUUCCCUCCAAAAUAUCUUUUAAUGUUGAUGCUCUUUGCAGUUCAUCAUAUUUUGGAAGAGACUCUUUCAAAGAAUCUGCAAUAUCUUUUUGCAAUCUAAAAAUAUUCAAUUCUUUUGAUACAGUGAUCCAUAUCACUUGAUCAAACUUCUCACUUUCCUUUAACAAUCGAUUGUUGAUAUGCUUCAUGAUAGUAGUUUUCCCUAUACCACCCAUUCCACAUACUCCAAUCAUUCCAACCUUAUUACCCAUCAAAUACUCCCAAAUUUGUUCUUUUACAUCGAUUUCACCUUCUAGAUUUGGUGUUGGUAACAUCACCCCGGUGGUUGGAGGCCCAUCAACUGCCACAUUGUUAGGGAAACUACCGUUUUGGUGAAUUUCCUUUACCUCUUCAAUCAUUCGGCAAACAAAUUUUCCAAGACGACCACGUAAGAAGUAUGAAACAACAUGGAACUUGGUUUCAAUCUCUUCCAUUUCAGUGUUAACCUUUUCUACAGCUUUAAACCAGUACUCCACUUCUUCCCUCACCACUUUUCUGUGACGAAGCUCCUCUUCCUUUCUUGAUAUGAGGUCUCUCUUUCGGAUGUUUAAAACAUUCACUUUUUCUCGAAGAUCAUUCAUAUGUUCUUCAAGUUUUCGGUGAUGGUCAAUGUAUGUACAGGUUGGACCACCAAAGCACUUUAUCACUUCAAAAAUUUGCCCUAUAAGCUCCAUAUAAGCUAUUCCCUAGAGAUUAAACCAAGAUAUAUUAGAUCUCCAUAUGACAUAAGCUACUCCCUCCCUAAACUACAAUUCUAUAUUUUUCAUAUAAUACAGAAUAUGUUAGAAAAAAAUCUUACUAAUUAAAAUUUUUUUACCAAUUCUUCUUAAGAAAAAACAUAAUAUUUUUGAAAACAUUAUAAAAAACAAGAAGUUUUUGUUUCCGUCACUUAAUUACUAUAAUUAUUUUCCACCUAAUUAAGAGAAAAGAAGCAUGACAUAGACCAAUGAACAAAAAUAAUUAUGUGAAAGGAAAGAUGAUGAACCUAUGUUAUGAAUCUAAAACAUGAAUCCAAAUCAAUAUUAAACAAUUUAAUUUAUCUAGUCAAGUGAGGCAGAUGAGCUGGUACUUCUUCUAUUCUUAGAGUUUCUUGAUUAAGUUUGUAAAAGCAGAUCUCCUUGCAAAAAAUUGUCAAGAAAAUAGCAUCAAGCAGAUCUCCUUCCAAAAUAUCCUCUAUGAGAAGAAAAUGAGUAAUGAAGCACAUGAAUUAUUGAAAAGUGGGCAAGAUUAAUAUUUAUGUAAGAAACUAAAAUAAAUGCCCAAUUUGUGUCUUAAUAUUUAUAUAAAACUUAUGAUAAGAUGAAUUUGUGUUAUAAUUUAAGAUUUCGAUUAAUUAAUGUUAUCAAAGAUAAAACUAAAUCAUAAGUAUAGACAACCUACUUAAUUCCGUGAGGCAGGGAAGUGAUACUUCUAUCUUCAGAAGGCCCUUAAUAAAUUUGAGAAACAAGCCCAAUCAAGAAAAAUAGCAAUAACAAAUAGAUUAUCUCCUUGCGAAAAAGAAAAUCCUGAUCCUCCGAGAGAAGAGAAUUAUUGAAUUAUGAAGCAGAAAAGAAUUAAAGUCGGCAACUCAAUGCAAAGUUGAAUUAUUUUCAACCUAAUUAGGCAAAAAAGGAAAAAGAAUAGAAGCAUAAAAUAAAGAGAAAGACCCAAAAGAAAGUUUUAUGGAGUUUGUUGAAAGAUGAAUUUAUGGCAGAAGGUAAGAUUCAGAGAUGGUACCAAAGAUGAAAAAUAUAAGCGUAGAUACUUCAGCUUGUUGAUAUCACUAAGCAGAUCUCCUUGCAAAUUCCUGUGUAAUGAGAAGAGAAGGAAUUAUGAAGCAAAUAAGUCAAUGCAAGUCAUGACAUUGGUUUCGGGGUCACUUCCCUUAAAGCUGCUUUGAAAUAAAGAAAAUAUAAAUAAAAUAAAAGAUGAUGAAGUGAGCCUGAACACUCGUUCAUUUUUCUUAAAGAAACAAUAAUCUAAGUUAGGACAAAAAGGAAGCAUCCGAGAAGGAUCCUGCGUAAAUUUUUACCAUUAAAUUACUUUGUGAAAAGACAAAGUUAGGUGCGAAUUGAGCACAAGGAAAGAUGAAGCAAUUAAAAAUUCAUCCAUUGUGUUAGUGGCGAAAUAAAAUAAUGAAAAGUUAGAGAAAUAGGGAGUCAUGAUUAGUGACUUGUGGGGUAGUAAUUGGAUUCCCCUUCUAGGUGUUUUGUGUUAUGCCAUAAACUUAUUACAUUAAUCUGAAUUUAUAAUUUAUAAAGAGAAUUAUUUCAACCUGAAAACUGAAAAAUAAGUAUCCCAAUCUGCAAUAGAAUGAUUUGACUAUGCACAGAAUGUGCAUAAGCUAUGAUCUACUGAAUGUAGUCCAUUUUAUAAGGGGACAAGAAACGAAUUGCCCUGUUCUUUGAUGGAGCUUCAGCAUCAUGCUUCAACCAGAAGUUUUCUACUGAGUUAACCGGAUUGUUAGUUCCUUGAUUGAUUUUCUAGUUAAUGAGCCAUAUCAGAUUACUUAGACUUGAGAAAUAGAAUUUCAACUUCUAAGGUUCUAAAUGUGACUAGUUCACAAAAUAUAUAGAAAUAUAAGGUACAAGAAGAUGAUGAUGAAGAUCAUUAAGUAAAGAUAUUGAUGAAGUGUGACGGUCAUUUCAUUGUUGAAGAUGAUUCAUGGCCGCCCCGUGGAACUGCUUCAAAAUAGUUCUUUUCAGAUAGUCCUAAAUAAUUGCUGCUGCACACACAACAGACAAAUGUGGAUGCAGCUUAUCACUUCUGAUAGAGCAGAGGACUCCCCUAAGAAUAUGGAUCAUCUGCUAGUUCAAAUUGUCUUGACUCUUUCCACAAUCUCCAUUCCUGAUACAUAUCAAAACCAUUUUGUCAUUUAUUAGUUUGAAAACUUAAUUAGUUAAAUGAUAAUACAUUGCACAACACUUACAUGUCCAACAAGGCUCAACAUUGGUUGAUAAAACCUUCUAUUCUUCUCUCCACAUAUUAUCUCCAGCAAUAGCCAAAUAUAGUACCCAUCAACAAGUGGGUUAAUUUAUCCUUACCCCAUCAACCUUAAGUUAAGCUUUUGUUUUGGUCUGAUAGUUUAGGUGCACAAUCGAUCAAGAAGUGGAAUUUUUUCUGUCAAUAGCAAAAAUUAAAAUCAGAAACUGUUUUUUGACCAAGAAAAGAAGCAAAUAAUUGAAAUUUUGUAGUUUUAAGAAGGAAGCAAGACGAUUACCAGACGAGAAGCUGUGUUCAGCCAAAUGAAAAGGCAAUAGCAUUUCCUUAGCAUUAGGAUCAUCCCAUUCCAGUGAUUCCCACCAUUCUUCUGGAUAUAAAACGAUUUGCUCAACAGGAGGAGUGGGAGGAGAUGGUAGUCCAUUUUCAAGCAGGGGAAGAGAUAAGGGGAUCCUUUUUAACUUCGGACAUUCUAUUACCUCAAGAUAUUGACGAGAGUUUGUUGGAAUCAUAAGUCCAAAAACCACAAAUGCUUUUCUGCUCUGGUAAUUUCAACAAGGAAAGUUUCCUUAAUUUGGGAAGAAUAAAUGUUAUGUGGUAAUUGCCCUUCCUGCCUCAAUUUCCUCCAACUUUUGAAAACCCUACAGCAGCUUAAUUGAACACAACUUCUUCAUACUCGAACAGUUUCUCAAGCAAAACCUUUUGAGAGAAGAGAAAAUGGGAGGUGGUGUUGGGAUGUGAGAUGGAGAUACACAUAGAUUCAUGGUUUUCAUGAAUAAGAUAAAAAUGUUAUGAUCACCAUUUAAACAUAAUAUAUAUAUUAUAUAUAAUAUAUAUAUAUAUUAGAGUAAUCACACUAAUCAUAUCAAAUUAAACUUAUACUCAUAAUUUGCGUGCAACAUCAAAUCACCAAAUCUUAUACAGAUAAUUUAAACUAUUAAUCUUGUUUAAUUAUAUAUGUAUUCAUCAUUUGAAGGGCUUUGUAAAUUUAUAAAGUAAACAACAAUAAGCAAUAAUUAUGUUUAUUUUCAAUAUCUUGGUAUUGAUACAUCACUUCCCAAAUAUGCUUUCCUUUUCUUUUUCAUACAUAGACAUUGUCUUGUUUGGAGAUUGUAGCUAGCUAGAUACCAUUAUUGCCAGUCCAAGAGGUGACACUUUGGAGAUUGAAUAGAAUUUAAUUUUCAGGUGUUUUGGUCUUGAGAUGAGUGUCAACAUUAAUUCCUUUGGAUCUCUUGAAUUAGCUUUUGUAAAUAAAAGAAGGUAUCCCUCCUCAAACAUGGAAAAUCCCCUUUCAAACCUAUAAUUUUAAAGAAAGAAAAUCCUAAUUUAAUAGAUUAGUUGCCAACUAGGGACAAGCUCCGUUGAUGUGACAUUAAUUUUGGUAUAUUCUAACACUUGUUGACUAGAUUCAAUUGGAUAGGAUUUUUAAUUUGGGUGAAAUUUACGGGUACUGAUUAAACAAUGGAAGUGACAUUGGAGGUUCUAAGUCCCUUUCACCUAAGAGAGAAAUGAGUUUGUUCAAUUGACACAGCUUUGGUACAAACAGAAAGUAAGCUAAUACCAUAUCCAUAUUUCUCAUGUGACUUGCAACAAAUUUAAGACUGAAGUAUGGCAAAAUAUUGGGUAUUUGUAUAAAUUACAAUACAGAUAAAGAAAAAAAAAAAAGAAAGAGACUAAAUAGAAAGGGGAAGUGGAAAGAUCCCCAAAAUCAAUUAGUUGCAAGUGGAAGGAGCAAAGCCCAACUUUGUUGGCAACAAGGUCAUGUUCCCACAGAUGAUUUUGUUGCAGAGUGUUGUCAAUAAUAUUUACUUCCAAGCUGUCUUUUGGUAAAUAGAAGCUGAUAAUGGUUAUCUGGAUCAAGCUCAAAUAUAGCUCCAUCUUCAAAAAUGAAUUGCAAAUCUUGACACUGAUGAGAAAAUCAAGCCUUUUUAUUGCUUUUAAUAAAAGCGUAUAAAAUUUGAAGGGUGCUCAGUUGGGGAAUUACUAGUUCCCAAGUAAUAGUUUUAACUGCUACUUUCUUGUACCAAAUUCCCAAGAAACGAUUCUUAGAGCUUCCAGGACAAAGAAACCAAGCUUAAGGAUUCCAUCCAUCACUAACAGACUGGGAGGAGGUGGAGAUAUCGAUUCCAUCAGCAAUACUUAAAAACAAUAUUAGCAAAAUGGUGUUGGUGAACAUGAAAGACAGAAUGUCUAUUUGUCUCAACUUUCAGAGCUUGUAAAACUUAUAGAAAAACUUUUCAGUUUGGCAGAUUUUAGAGAGCAAACAUAUUUAAACUGAUGGUCGUUGACUAGUAUGCAAGUCUUCCUUGAAAAGACCAAACUUUUCAGGUUGCACAGAAUUCUUAUUUCUGAUUUUUAUGAGGCUUCAGUGUAGUCAUCUUGUAUUGUCUCUGUGAAUUGUAUAUACAUAUUAUACCCCCAAGUGGGCACUUGCAGGGUGCUAAGCUCAAACUGGGACUAAACCACUGGUAUCAAAGCAUAAGGGACAUAAACAUACGGAUCGAUAGCCUAUAAUAAUGGCUUGGAGAUGAAAGAGCUUAAGUAUACAGUUUAUCAAUUAUCGAGCAUCUAGUACUGACAGAGUUAUUUCAUUUGUGGAAGAAGAUACAUGCUUGUCUGAUGAAGAAUCUUCUUCAAGUGGACUUUUCUUAGACAAAAUACCAGGUUGUUUGGGGUGUGGCAAUUCAGUUUCACUUCCCAACAUCAGAAUCACAAAUGACAUACGUGGCCUCUCCUCAGGGAUUUUGUCAUUUAUCAGUUAGAAAUGUUGAAAAUCUCAAGGAUUUUGUUAUAUUUGCAGACCAUUAUCUGUUAAAAUGAUAAAGAUAAAACGAGAGAGAAAAUAUAAUUGAACACAAAGUCUCCCUACAGUCUUUUCAUUCAACAAUAACACUUAUAAAUACAUUUACAGGAGAGAGAAGACAACAAUAAAAUAAAACAACACGUAAAGUAAAAUAACUGCACAAUAUCCAUAUCUUACAUAAUCACCUACUUUACAAUACAAACCCACUACCUAACAUAACAAUAACUGACUCAACAUGACAAUAAUUGUAAAAGAGAAAAUAAACUGAUAUUAACUAAUAAAUUAAAAAAUUGUUGAGAAUAACUGAAUCUGAUUCUUCAAGUCAAAUCUCAUUCUUCAACAAAACUUGAUUAGUUAAAUGAUAAUACAUUUCACAACACUUUUAUGUCCAACGAGGCUCAACACUUUUGUCUGGUUGAUAAAAGCUUCUAUUUUACCUUCCACAAAUUAUCUCCAGCAAUAAUAUACCAAAGCUAAAUACACUACCCAUCAAGAAGUGGGUUAAAUUAUCCUUAACCCAUCAACAUUAAGUUAAGCCUUUGUUUUGGUCUGAUAGUUUAGGUGCGCAAUCGAUCAAGAGGUAGAAUUUUUUCUGUCAAUAAUAAAAAUUAAAAUCAGAAACUAUUUUUUGACAAAAAACAGAAGCUAAUAAUUGAAAUUUUGUAGUUUUAAGAAGGAAGCAAGACGAUUACUAGACGAGAAGCUGUGUACAGCCAAAUGAAAAGGCAAAAGCAUUUCCCUAACAUUAGGAUCAUCCCAUUCCACUGAUUCCCACCAAGUAAUUGUUUGGCCCUUGAUCCAAUAUAGACUUGGUGUAUUCUACUGAGAUUUGUAAAUUUAUUUUCUUAAAUUGAAAGCACUGUUGUGAAGAUUUUUCCCUUUCGAAAUGAUUGGUUUUUCAAUGUCAGACAAAUUAAGAAUACACCAUACUUUAGAAAUGGAAACAUAUAUAAACUACUUAUUAAAUUACUACAACAUCAAGCAAAUUACUGUAAUGAACAAGUGAUAAUGAAGUCAAUAUAAUCCAAGAAGAUAGAUUGAAGGGAGUUCAGUUGGCUAAUUGAUGCAGAGAAUAUUUGGAGCAGACUGGGUUAAUCCUUGUCCAAAACUCCUUGAAAGCCUCUUCAUAGCAAUUUCCUGUGACCAUUUACUAAGAUAGAUUGAAAGACCGCCUGCAAAUAGGAGAGAAGAAAAUGUUGAUGUAACGACCCAAGUCCAAUCACCGGCCCAGCAACUUUUCGAACCUAAACCAAUCACUGGCCUAGCAACUUUUCGAACCUAAACCACAUGGCCCUUAAAAGCUUAAGCUUAAGUUACUAGUAGUGAUGGACUUGGAUUGUUAUAUAGGUAUUAACAAUCAUAUUCAUAUUAGACGUGAGAUUUGAGGUAUCACAAUCCGACCCAUUCAGAUCCUUGAUGUCAUCAUCAAGACCACACAUCACAUUCACGAGACCAAGAUCUCAUUAGAGCAAUGUGAAAGCUCACAUCGGACUAGCGCAAGCUCUUAUACCAUUUGUAAUGACCCAAGUCCAAUCAUUGGCCCAGCAGCUUUUCGGACCUAAACCACAUGUACCUCAAAAGUUGAAACUCAAGUUACUAGUAAUGAUGGACUUAGAUUGUUAUAUAAGUUUUAACAAUCAUAUUUAUAUCAGAUGUGGGAUGUGAGGUAUCACAAUGAACUUGAGUUUAAGUUUUUGAUGACCAUGUGGUUUAAGUCUAAAAAGCUGUUGGGCCAGUGAUUGGAUUUGAGUCAUUACAAAUGGUAUCAGAGCCUACGCCAGUCCGAUGUGAGUUUUCACAUUGCUCUUAUGAGAUCUUAUUCUCGUGGAUGUGAUGUAUGGCCUUGAUGAGAACAUCAAAGAUUUGAGUUGGUGGGAUUGUGAUAUCUCACAUCCCACAUCUGAUAUGAAUGUGAUUGUUAAAACCUAUAUAACAAUUCGAGUCUAUCACUACUAGUAACUUGAGCUUAACUUUUUAAGGACCAUGUGGUUUAGGUCCUAAAAGCUAUUGGGCCAAUGAUUGGACUUGGGUUGUUACAGUUGAUUAACAUCAACAAGUACAUCCCCUAGAUAAAUGAAUAAAAAUAAACACAGAAUGUGGAUAAAAAUAAACUGAGACUAUUUGCAGUUUUAAGAAAAAACGUUGAGGACUUUACCGAUGUGAACCGUCGAGCCACAUUUAAUGGAGUAGAUUUUCUCCAUCUCAUUCUACCAAAUAAAAACAAAGGGAGAAAAGACAUGCUUAGCAUCAAGGUGAUCCCAUUGCACUGAUUCCCACCAUUCACUCUGGCUUACAUUGAUUUCUUCUAGAAAAGGAAGAGGACAUGGUUGCCCAUUUUCAAAAAGGGCAAGACACAAAGGGAUCCUCUUUAGAUUUGGACAUUUCCAUAUUCGAAGAUUUCGGAGAGAAUCUGUAGGAAUCACAACUCCACCACUGUAAAUGCUUUUCAAUUUUGGUAAGUAGAUCAUCCAUAAUGAUUUUAAUUUAAGCAGAAUGAAUGUUGUUCUUUCUCCUUUACGAUUUUCUUCUUAUUCUGAUGCUAUUAUUUCCUCUAUUUCUUUAUAGUCUUCAACUUUAAUUUCCUGUAAGUUUUAGAGACCUUGCAACAACUCAAUUGGGAACAACUUCUUCAUCUUCCAACACAAAUCUAGAUGCAAUAAUUUAAGAGAAAAGAAGAUGGUAGGUGGGGUUAGAGGAGGAGAGGUAGAACCAAAUUCAAGCGCUACUCUUACUCUCACAUGUUCAUGCAAGUUCCACAAUGACUUAAGGAAUAUCUUCUUAAUGUCAUCAAGUGUGUUGCAAGGCGACAAUGACAAGUCAACCACACACGCCGUCCCUUUACACUCCUCAAUUUAACAUAUCUUCAAGUUAGUUGCCUUACGAAACAAAGGAAUAUUGCUUAAACAUUUGAAAUCAUUACACUUCCCAAUACGUAAAGUAUGAAGGCCAUUUGGGACUAGUGUAUCUUCUAUUUUCUCCAUCUCACAAUGCAUGAAUGUUAUCUGCUUUUCAAGUUUCUCUAAAUUUUGGACAGGUAGACUAUGUAAAACCUCAGAUGAUCCUACUUCAGGAUAAAGAUUUUUAGGCCAUUUACCUUGUAUAGACUUUGCAUAUCUUGAACUCUUACAAGUCACAAAAUGAACAUGAAAGAAUCUCAAGCUUCAUCAAUUUGCCUUCUUCUUCUCCCAUUAAAUGCGGCCCUACUAUUAAGCAUUGGAGAUGAGACAUCAUCAGCAAUAUUCCUACAGGCAGCUCUUUUAUAUUAGAUGACCAUAGACGGAGAUAUCUAAGGAUUUCUAACUUUUUUAUUCCAUGAGGAGCCUCUUCAAUUCCCAUAUACAAAAGGUCCAACUUUUUAAUGCUCUAAGCUUUGCCGAGGAAGGCACACAUUUUAAUAUGUAACAACAAAAAAGUAUCAAUGCAUUAAGAUUUUUCAAGUUACAGAUGGAAUUGGGUAGAUCUACAAUCUGAGUACGAGAAAGAUCUAAAACUUUUAGGUCAGACAUGUACUUAAAUAAAGAUUCUGGAAUCCUUCUUAAGCCACAGUUUUGCAAUAUCAAAGUUGACAAACGAGGACAUUCAGGUGAUAUGUGAGGAGGGAUUUCUAUUAAUUUUGAAUUGUCUAAUAUCAAGGAAACCUUCUCAACACUCAUUGUCCAUUCCUGCUUAAUUGGUAGUUCCUUUAAUUGCAUGUAUUGAUGACCACUACUUUUAACAUACAAUGCCACGUCUCUCAAAACAUCAUGCAUCUUAACUUCUUCCGUAUAAUCAGUUGUAGUCCUUUUUAACAAGCAAUUAUUUUCAAGCUUAUUUAAAAUGCUAUGGCCUUUGUCAUACAUUGCUUGUCUAGUCCCUAAGCUAUCAAGGAGUCCCUCAUCUAUCCAUUUUUCAAUUAAGUCUGUUUUUCUAAUUCUAAAAUCCUCAAGAUACAAGGAGCAAUAUAAGAAAUGAUUUUGGAUUUCUAGAUCUCCCAAAUGGUCAUAAUUGAACUUUAAACACUCAAAUUUUUCAAUGUUCGACCCUUUCACAAUUUUCACUUGCUCCUCUAAUUCAUUUAGUGCAUUCCUUCACUCACAAAUAUCAUCUACUUCUACCCCUUUUAGGCUACUAGCCAUUGUCACAAUGAAAAGUGGUAAACCGCCACAUUGCUCAACAAUUUUGUUGACAAUAUCUUUUAAAUUUUGAUCUUGUAUAACACUAUACCCCACACAAUCUAAGAAUAUAUUCAUGGACUCUUUUUUUGAAAGCGGUUGCACUUUGACCACCUCACAACCCAUAGAUUUAUAGACCUCAAUUGAUGUACUAGUGAAAACUACUUUCCUCCCCAUACUUAAUGUUGGUUUUGGGAUUUCCUCAUUUAGUAGAGAAAGUCAUUUCCAAACAUCGUCUAAGAUCAACACAUAUCUCUUUUUCUCUAAAAUAUCUUUUAAUGUUGCUACUCGUUGCAAGUCAUCUACUGGAAGAGAUUAUUUCAAAAAAUUUGUAAUAUCUUGUUGCAAUUUGAAAAUAUUCAAUUCUUUUCAUAUAGUGACCCAUAUCACUUGAUCAAAUCAAUUAUCCUUCAACAAUUGAUUAUUGAUAUGCUUCAUGAUUGUAGUUUUCCCUAUACCACCCAUUCCACAUACUCCAAUCAUUCCAACCUCUUCACCCAUCAGAUACUCUGAAAUUUGCUCUUUCAUAUUGAUUUCACCCUCUAGAUUUGGUGUUGCUAAUGUCAUCCCAGCAAUUGAAGGCCCAUCAACCGCCACACCAUCAGGGAAACAACCUUGUUGGUAAAUUUCCAUUACUCCUUCAAUCUUUCCGCAAAGAAAUUUUCCUAGAUGGCCGCAUAAUAAGUAUGAAACAGCACAGAACUUCUUUUCAAUCUCUUUCAUUUCAGUCUUUACCCUUUGUACCUCUUUAAACCAGUUCUCCACUUCUUUCUUCACCUCUUUUCUGUGACGAAGCUCCGCAUCCUUAAUGGAUUCAACAUCUUUCUUUCGAGAUUUCAAAGCAUCCACUUUCCUUCGAAGCUCAUUCAUAUGUUCUGCAGGUUUUCGAUGAUGAUCUAUGUAUCUAUAGGUUGGAUCCCAAAAAUACUUUAUCACUUCAUAAAUUAGCCCUAAAAAGUCCAUAUAAGCUACACCCUAUAAUUUAAUAAACCAACUUAUAUUACAUCUCUACAUGAUAUAAGCUACUCCCUGUACUAAAAUUCAAUAAAAUAAUAUGUAGCCUAUACGUUACAAAAAAAAUGUUACAAAAUAAUAAAUUUUUAAUUUCAAAAUUGGAAGACUAAAUUUACUAUAUGUGAUUUUUUUAUAUAUUUUACACAUUUAAUACGAAUUCAAAUGAGAUUAGGCAAGAAUUUGUAAUUGUUAGCCUAAGUGAACAUAGAAUGACCAUUUAAUGUUAAAUAUUCAAAUUCAAAAAUGGAUAUUGUCACCCAAAAAUGUAUUUGCUAGCAUAACUCAAAUAAAAGGAAAACUUUAUAAUAUUAAAAUUUGCAUUGAUUUCACUGUUUUCUCUACCAAUUGUUUCAAAUAGCGUUUAUUGCUAUUAAUUUUUUUGACCAUGACUCCUAAUUUGAUUUUUGUUUCAUACUUAUUACUUAUUUAAUUGUUCACAUUCAUAAUUCAGAGUUUACCUUAUAUGGUUACUUCAACUUUACCUCUUAAAAUAUGAGAUAUCUUGAAAUUAAUGCUAUAAAUUGCAAAUUUUUUCUACUUACUUGGUAUGUUUUUGUUAAAGAUUAUAUAUAGUUUCUUAGGCUAUUCUCCACUCAUAUUUAGUUUCUAUGUUUCCCUAAUCCAAAUUUCCAUCAUCAAAAGUUUGAUUUCUUCUUUUUGCAGACCUCUUUGAAUUAUUCAAUUUUGUCUAUAUAUGUAUUUUGACCUCAUUGAUUUAUAAUUAUUUAGUAGUUAUGUAUUUCAACCUCUUUAAUGAACUAUUCAAUUUCUUAAUUUAUUUUCUUUAGUCAAUUGUUUUACUGUAUUCAUAUGAGUAGAUUUUCAUCAGAAUCAUUUAAUCUUCUAAGACGUUAUUCAUUAACAUGGAUACUUCCAACUUAAUUUUUUUUUACAUUCUACUUUAUAUUUUAAAUUCUUAAAAAUUAUUAUAAAAUAAAAUUAUCACCUGUGCAUUGCAUGGGGAUAAAUCUAGUUUUUGAUAAUAAUAAACAUCAUCUUAACCAAUAAUAAUGAUAAUAAUAAAUAUCAAAGACCCAAGCAAAUAUUAAUCAUUUUGAAUUGAUAGUCCUAAAUAUUUUCAAUUGUGGAUUAAUAAAAUCUAAACAUGAGUAAGGAAUAUAUAUAUUACAUCUUUUUGAUAAUUAAAACAACAAAGCUUGUGACAACAACAAUAUAUCAUAAAAAGAUAUUUAAGAAAUGAUAGAAAGAAUAAAUUGAGAGAAUAGAAUGAUAUUUAGGGUCCGUUCGUUUUGCAGUAAAAUAUUUUCCGGAAAAUAUUUUCAGGACUUAUGCUUGUUUGGUAGAUGGAAAAUUAAUUUCAGAUGUAAAACAUUUUACGAGUUAAUAGGGUUAACCAUGGAAAAUGUCUUAUACGCUUGAAUGGCGUAAGACAUUUUUCAAAGAACAACAAAAACACUUUUAUGCUAAGUUUAUGAUUAUAAGUUUGAUGAAUAUUAAUAUUUAACUUAAAAUAUUAAAAAAAUAAAAAUAUUAAUAUUUAACUUUAAAAUAAUUACUUUAAAAUAUUAAUAUUUAAAUUAUACAAUACUAUUAAAAUUAAAAAAAAUAUUAUUGUAAUGAAACCAUUCAAUACAAUUAAAUUUUUUAUUUAUAAAUGGAAUAAAUCUUAUUAAUAAUUAUAAUAAAAAAUAUUUCAAUGAUCAUUAUUUGAUUAAUACACAUUUAUAAUAGUUUUAAAUCUUACUAAUAAUUAUAAUUAAAAAUAUUUCAAUGAUCGUCAUUUAAUGAAUACACAUUUAUAAGCAUAGAUUUAGGAUAUCUUACACAAUUGAUAAAUAUUUACAUUUUAUAGUUAUGAUAAAAAAGUGAUAAAAUGGAAAUUUUUUUGAAAAUUAGAGUUUAUUUUCAUCACAGAUAUGUGGUUAAAUGNGAAAUUUUUUUUUAAAUUAGAGUUUAUUUUCAUUACAGAUAUGUGGUUAAAUGCUUUGAGAAAUAUCAUUAUUGAUUUUGUCCAUUUUCAUCUUCAUUCUUAAUUUUGAUCCCAAAUUAGUGAAAAUCAAAUAUCAAUAUUGUUUUGUAAUCAACUCCUAUUUAUUAUUUUAACGCCUAAAUAAGUCCACCAUAAUGAAAAAUAUUUUUCAUAAAAUGAUCCAAACAACUGAAAAUGUUUUCGAUAGUUUAUCCAAAUAAUAAAAUAUAUUAAAUUUUCCUAUAAAAUAUUUUACAUAGGAAAAAUUUUCCUUCAGUAAGUCAAUUUACGAUUACCAAACGGACCUUAAAGUACCUGGUUUCCUUUUCAAAUUAUUUGGAAAGACCAAGAAUAGAGGUUAAGUAGAUGAACUGCAAAUUAAUCCCCUUGGCUCCUUGCGUUAAGUAGAAAUUUUUGUGGAAAAUUAAAAAUCUUAUUUUUAACACCAGUAGUGUUAAUUCAAAUUUAUACUUGUACCAAUUCAAAUUUAUAUUUAAGAGGAGAAUCAAUCCAAUCUGAAGAGUGAAAAAGUCUUGAAUUAAUUCCUUGUUGCUGAUGUAGAGAGAUGUAGUUGUAGAAGAAACUAUGCAUAGAAGGAACAAGUUUAGCCCUUGAAAAGAGCCUUGUGGAUGGCUCUUGAUCUUUACACAAAUGCUGCAGAGAACUUGUAAAUGAUGAGCUUGCAUGGAAUUUGUAUAUCUUAAUCAUAUGAAGCUUCAGUUUGGUCCUUCAAUUUCUCUAUCUAUGAAAUAAACACAAGGCAUUGUAUAUGAACUAUUCUAUACAUCUCAACUCUUCUUGGACAUAGAGAAAACCACCUUCAACUUGCUUUGAAAUUUCCUUCCUUGGUACAUGAUGCUGUCAAGUUAAGAACAUUGAAAAAUAGGAUUCAACCUUGCAAUCUAUAUUGACAUGAGGUUAACAUAAUUCUAAUCCAGUAUUGCAACUCCAUUACUGUCGACUCAAUCUGUAAUUAAUUUAAACAUAAGGGAAAGUAAGGUUAGAUUCAUUCGCAUUGGCUUUCUCUGCCCUGCUUUUAGAAAUUUCGUUGGUGAAAUUGGAUAAUGCUUCUUUCAGAUAAAAGACUUGAAGAUACCCCUUAAUAAAAGGAUUUGACAAAUUCUAAAUAUAAUUAGUUGAAUCAUAUGCAGAAACUGAAUUUGAAUCUCAAAAAGAAGAUUUUCUUCUCAUGAAAGCCUCUGUCAAGAACAUAUCCAGAUGACUUACAAUUCAAGUGAAUUUGGAUAGUGCUUCUGAUGAAAGCCUUCGAACAUUAGAACUACAGAAGACAUACAAUUCAAGUGACCAGAUUCCAGAUCAAAUAUGAACAAAUCUUGUAAAUUAGCAUUUUCUCCGCUCCUUGUUAUGCAACGACCAAGAGGCUUUACAGGAUUACGCUGCUGAAGCUUGGCAAUCAAUUUCACAUCAUUUCAUAGCACAUACAAUCCUUGUCAAGAACUCCUUCAAAGCCUAUACACAGCAAUUUGUCAUCCAUCUGAUAAUGUACCUUGAAAGGUUAAAAGUAAAGAUUGCAAAAGGGUUUUCCUUGUACAUACGUCCGAAUCCACCUUAUCCAAGCUUCUUGUAUAUUGGUGACUUUAGCUAUAGAGGAUAGGUCAAACAAGUCGAACCUCUGUGUUUUCCUUAUUGCCUACAACGUUCUGCUCAGCUUCUCCCAUGGUUUCUUUCUCUGAAAUAGAGGGAAAUGUGCCUCCUUAAGUGUACAGUUUUAAUGAUUUUUUUUUUGGAAGAUAUAGUGAUUUUUCAAUGCUGUUUUUUCCUCUGUUUUUUCUCCACUGACAAAUGAUUGAUACGCAAUUUCUAGCAAACUAUACCUUUCGAAAAAUUUCAAGAAACAGAAGAGCUAAAUGUUAUGGUUGACAAGACAAAUGAGCUUUACCUUGUAGGUUUCUCCAGAGUUUGUAAAGGUAACAGUCAAUUAUCACCAUCCCAGCAACAAUGGCAAGGUCAAUUCUGCUUUGAGAUAACAGCCAUCCUCUUCUUAGGCUCAUCUUUAGCCUUUUCAGGUUCAGAUUUGACACAGGAAAGUCAGUUAAACUUAUUUUCAGAAAGUAAGACACAGAGUUAAAAAAUGCUAAUGACACAUGAAAAAGCAAAUGAAUUAAUGAGUUAAAAUUAGGUGCAAAUUUAAUUUUGAAGCAGAAAUUUGAAUAUAAUGUACUCGCCCACCAGAAGGUUUCUGUCUGAUAUCAAAUAAUCAAAUCACAUGACUGAAAAGUUAGUGGUAGGGCCAAGAACUGAAGGUCCAUGUUUUCCUUGAAGCUUUCAGCAUGCCCUGAUCAGUUUCUUCAAUGUUUUUCUCUUAUCUAAUGUUCUGCUCAACAAAAGAAUAAAAAAUAAAAAAAUUUAAGACUAAAUGUAAAUGCAUGGUAAACUUGCUGUCUAGCUGAGAUGGUUUUAGAAAUUACUGAAGGCAUAGUGAAUGCUAAAUUUUUAAUGAAAAUCUGAUAGCCCAAUAACCAUAGGCAAAAAACAACUUGUGAAAGGACCAACCUAUCAUUGCCAUCAUCAGCCUCUUACUCUUCAUCCUCUUCUGAAGAAAAUUCUAAAACAACUUGUGAAAGGACAUCCUUAGCAUCAGGAUCAUCAAAUUCCACUAAUUCCCACCAUUUUCUUGGAUGAACAUAGCCAUGCUCGAGAGGAGGAGGAGUUGGUUGCCCAGUUUCAAGCCGGGGUAUGGAGAAAGGGAUCUUCUUGAGCUUUAGACAAUUUAUUAUUGAAAGAAAUUGGAGAGAGUUUGCAGGAACCAUAACUCCACUAGUACAAAUGCUUUUCAGUUCCGGUAAUUUGAUCAGGUGCAAGGUCUGUAAUUUGGGAAAAACAUAUGUUGUUACUUUAGGACCCCUUUCUUCUUCUUUGUGAUUUUCUUCCUCUGCUUCUGAUGCGAUUAUUUUCUCCAUCUUCUCACAGCGAUUAACUUCAAUGUACUCUAAGUUUUGCAAGCCCCGCGACAGCUGAACUGAAAACAAAUUCUUUAUACUUGAACAACGAAACAAAUGAAAUUUCCUAAGAGAAGAGAAGAUGGCAGGCGGUGCUGGAGUGUGAGAUGUAGAGACAGCUGCUACUCUUCCUUUCACAAGUUCUUGCAAGUUGGACAAACAUCGAAGACGUAGAACCUCAAUGUUCUGCAAUGAAUUGCAAGAUGAUAACGACAAAUCAACCAUGCACUUUAUUCCUUUACACCAACUAAUAGUACAUGUCUUCAACUCAUUUGCUUUACGGCACAAAGAAAUAUUGCUCAAGCUUUUGAGAUCAUGACAUGCCUCAACAGUCAGAGUCCUAACGCAAUUUGGGAGCACCACAAGAUCUUCUUUCCCUAUCUCGCAAUUAAUAAAACAUACCUUUUUGUCAACUUCGACAUCCUCAAGAUGAGAACACCAAGGAUGGCUCCUGAUGUUGCCCAAAGUAGGUGAUCCAACUCCAAGCCAGUAUUUGGAGGGCCCUUGACCCAAUAAAGACUUGGCAUAUCUCUCAAAGUCUUGUAUUUCACAAAAGAAUCCUAGAAGAAUCUCCAGCUUCCUUAGUUUGGCUACUUCCUCUCCUCUUCUAUUCAUCCAAGUUUUCAAGUAUUGGAGAUUAGAAAGCCUUAAUAGAAUUUCCGUUGGUAGUUCCUUUAGAUUCCUUGAAUAUAAAUCAAGAUAUGUGAGGCUUUCUAACAUUUCUAUACCACGAGGGACCUCCUCAAUAAUUGUAUCAAAAAGAUCCAACUUUCUCAAGGCUGUAAGCUUGGCUAAUGAAGGCACGUAUCUUAAACUGCUACACCUUCGAAGGACAAGUGCAGUUAGAUUUUCCAAGUUAGAAAUGGAAUUGGGCAGAUCAUAAAUGCCAGUAUCCGAAAGAUCUAGAACUUUUAGCCCAUGCAUGUGGUCAAAGAAAGAUUCUGGAAUUCUUUUGAGACUAUGAUUUUCUUGCAAUAACAAGGUUGACAAAUUAAGGCAUUUCGGUGAUAUCUGAGGAACUUGUGAUAUGUAAUUGUGAAUCAAGGAAACCUUCUCAAGAUUCUCUUUCCAUUUAUGCUCACUUGGUAACUCCACUAAUUGCAUACCAGCUUGAACCAUAAAGUGAUGACACCCUCUUAUAAUAGACAAUGCCAUGUCUCUUAGAACAUCAUGCACCUUCACUUCUUCCUUAACAUUGUAAGUCAUCACCCUCUCUAACAAGCAAUUAUUUACAAGCUUAUUUAAAAUAGCGCGACCUCUGUCUUGCAUUGCCUGUCUAGUUUCUAAUUCAUCAAUGAGAUCCUCAUCUAUCCAUUUUUCAAUCAACUCUUCUUCCACAAUGUGAUAAUCUUCAGGAUACAAGGAACAAUAUAAGAAACAAUUUUGAAUUUUUGAAUCUUUCAAACGAUCAUAACUGAAUUUCAUACGCUCAAAUAUUUCAAUAUCUAACCCUUUCACACUUUUAACCCUUUCACGUAAUUCAUUUAGUGCAUUCCUCCACUCGCAAGUAUCGUCCACUCCUCUCAUGCUACUAGCUAUAGUCACAAUGGCAAGCGGUAAACCACCACAUUCGUCAACAAUAAGGUUUGCAAUUUCCUUUACAGUUGGAUGUUGUAGAACCCUAUCCCCCACCAGAUUCAAAAAUAAGUUCAAUGACACCUUCUGCGAAAGAGGCUGCACUUUAAACACCUUACAACCCAUAGAAUUACAAACCUCAAUUGAUCUACUAGUGAUUAUCACUUUGCUCCCAUUAUGUAAUGUUGGUUCCGGGAUUCCCACAUCCAAUAGAGAAAACCGUUCCCAAACAUCAUCUAAGAUCAACACAUAUCUCUUUCUUUCCAAGACUUCCAUUAAUACAGUUGCCCAUUGCAACUUAUUUUCUGGAAGACAGCAUUCUAAAGCACAUGCAAUAUCUCCUUGUAAUUUGACAGCAUUGAAUUCUCUAGAUACGGUGACCCAAAUCACUGCAUCAAACUGAUUUUCCUUCAACAAUUGAUUAUUGAUAUGCUUCAUGAUGGUAGUUUUUCCCAUUCCACCCAUACCACAUACUCCAAUCAUGCCAACCUCGUCACCCAUUAAAUUUUCCCAAAUUUGUUCCUUUACAUCGAUUUCACCUUCUAGUUUUGUUGUGAGAAAUGUCACCCCUGUAGCUGGAGGCCCAUCAAUUGUUACACCCUCAGGGAAAUUACCUCGUUGAUAAAUUUCCUUUGCUUCUUCAAUCUUCUGGCAAACAAAUUUCCCUAGGCGUGCACGUGAGAAGUAUGAAACAACACGCAAUUUCUCUUCAAUCAUUUGAAGUUCAAUAUUUAUCCGUUCUAAAUCUUCAAACCAUUUCUCCACUUCUUUCUUCACCACUCUUCUGCAACGAAUAUCUGCUUCCUUUCUGAAUUCAAGGUCUUGCUUUCGAAUAUUUAGAUCAUUCACUUUUCUUUUAAGAUCAUUCACAUUUUCCUUAAGUUUCCGAUGAUGACUAAUGGAUCUAUAGGCUGGACCCCCAAAGCACUUUACCACUUCGAAAAUUGGCCCUAGAAGCUCCAUAUAAGCUACUCCCUGUAGUUUAAAAACCAAUAUGUAUAUUACAUCUCCAUAUAAGAUACUGCUUGUACUACUAUGUUAUUAAAUCUCAAACUUUUAUCAAUUCUUCUAAAGAAAAAAAAAACAAAAGAAAAAAUAUUGCUUUUAAAAAACUUUAUUAAAUACAAGAAUCCAUCAUCUAUGAGAAUAGUGUUUAUAUUUCUAAGACUACUUAUACGUUAAUGGUUUUAUAUAUAGUAUAUGUAGAUGAAUGUAUACAUGUUUGUGUUUAUAUAUUUAUAUAUAGUGUUCAACUUUCUCACUUAAGAACCAUCACAAAUUCUUUAAAUAUGUCUGACCUGUGUUUUCGAGUCUUGAUCAUUAGAACAUUAAUAAAAGGAGGAAUAAAAAAAUGAGAAAACAAUUCUCAAUAAUAUUAAACAUCAAGGACCCAAGCAACUUUCUCACUUAAGUUGUAUCACUCUCUAACAGGUAAUUAUUUUCAAGCUUAUUUAAAAUGCCCUCUGUCAUGCUUUGUUUGUCUGGUUUCUAAGCUGCCAUGGAGCCUCUCAUCUAUCCAAGUUUCAAUUAAUUUCAUUUUCUCAAUUUCAAAUUCUUCAGGACAUAAGGAACAAUAAUAUAAGAAAAAAUUUUAAAUUUUGUAUUUCUCAAGCAAUCAUAACUAAACUUCAAACAACCAAAUAUGUUGACGUUCACACCUUUCACACUUGUCACCCACUCUUCGAAUUCAUUCAGUGCAUACCUGCACUCACAAUAUCAUCUACCCCUUUCAUGCUACUGGCUAUUAAUGUCGCAAAGCGGUAAAUCGCACAUUGCUCAACAAUUUUGUUGACAAUGUCUUUUAAAUUUCAAUCUCAUACAACACCACAUGAUCUAAGAAUAAGUUCAUGGACCACGUUUUUUAAAGUGAUUUCACUUUGACAACCACACUAUCCAUAAAUUUACAGACCUCAAUUGAUUUACUAGUGAGUACAACUUUCCUCCCCAUACCUAAUGUUGGUUUUGUGAUUCCUACAUCCAAUAGAGAAAAAAUUGUUUCUAAACAUCAUCUAAAAUCAACGCACAUCUCUUUUCCUCCAAAAUAUUAUUUAAUGUUGCUGCUUAUUGCAAUAUAUCUUUUGGAAGAGAUUGGUACGAAGAAUCUGCAAUAUCUUCUUGCAAUUUGAAAAUAUUCAAUUCUUUUAAUAGGUGAGCCAUUCCACUUUAUCAAGCCAGUUAUCCUUCAACACUUGAUUAUUUAUAUGCUUCAUGAUGGUGGUUUUCCCUAUGCCACUCAUUCCAUAUACUCCAAUCAUUCCAAUCUCAUCACUCAUCAAAUACUUCAUUUUUUAAUUUUUCUUCAAUUUCACCUUCUAGAUUUGGUGUUGGUAAUGUCACCCUGGUGGCUAAAGGCCCAUCAAUUGCCACACCAUCAAGGAAACCACCUUGUUGGUAAAUUUCCUCUAAUUCAUCAAUCAUUCAACAAAAUGAUUUUCCUGGACGACCGCAUAAGAAGUAUGAACCAACACAGAACUUCUUUUCAAUAUUUUCCAUUUCAGUCACCCUUUGUACGUCUUCAAAGGUUAAAUGGAGCACAGUAUGCAAGCCCAAAAGAUUUGGAGGACUGGGGAUCUCAAACCUUAAGCAUAAAAACUUAGCUCUCCUUGCAAAAUAUUGGUGGUGGCAGUAUGGCAACGAGGAAAACGCAUUAUGGAGGUGGCUGAUUGUAGAAAAAUAUGAAAGGGGGCAAAAUCAUUGGAUCCCCUCAUCAUCAAACAUGGGAAGAAUGUCACUGAUAUGGAGAUCCAUUGUAAAUUUACCUUCCAACAAGGGUGUUCAAGAACUUGUGUGAGACCAAGCAUGUCGCUGGAUUACUAUUUUCUUUUGGCUUUACAAAUUGAUUAAUGAUGUUCCUCUUUUCUCCAAAUUUUCUCCUCUUUUCUCUUUGAUUGUUUCAAAGGAAAUGAAAGUUGUUGACGUGCAGAACAAUCGCACUUGGUCCAUAACCUUUAAACACAAUCUACAUUUAUGGGAGAAAGAAUCCUAGGAUGAGAUCCUCCACAAGUUCUCCUCGAUUCCUUACUCCAAGGAAAAGGUGAUAAGCUCAUUUGGCGGCAUGACCCUAAGGGUGCUUACUCUAUUAAAACUUUCUACUUACUCCUUGAUGCUAAUCCUAGUGCUUGAAAGUUUGGUUCAACACUAUUUGGCACUUCUCCAUUCCACCGAAGGUGCAAUGUUUCCUAGGGCUCUCGCUCAUAUAUAGAUUCUUUACCUACCAAAGGCUUCCUUUCGUCCGAGGUGUUUAAUUCAAUGUUGAGCAACUUAGAUGCCCUUGGUGCAGCCUUGUAGUGGAGACAUUUGUUCUUUGUAUUAUCUUUCAGUAUGUUGCUAGUAGUUGAUGUAUAAUUCUCUUAGGCCAUGUUUCGGAUUGUUCUGCAUUUUGUAAGCCAGGCUGGUUAGGUUCUGUUAUGCACUCUUUGUGCACUCCCCUGUUUUUUUCAUUUUCUGUUCUGCAUCAACAGUUCAUUCCCAGCCUUGUACUUUAAAAAACCAACUUAUAUUACAUCUCCAUAAGAUAUAAGCUAUACCUUGUACUAAAAAGCAAAAGAAAAAUAAGUUUUGAAAACAUUAUUAGAAACAAGAAGUUUUUGUUUCGAUCAUCUAGGUGAAUAAUGUUUACAUUUCUAACACUAUAUUUAUCAAGCCGAAUGUAUAUACUAUUUAUAUAUAGCAUAUACUUCCCCCCCUAGAGAGCCAACACAAAUUCUUAAAUAUGUCUUGCCUACAUAUCUCAAAAAGAUAUUUAAGAAAUAAUUGCAUGAAUAAAUUGAGAGGGUAAAAUGACAUUAAAAAUACCAGGUUUCUUCUUCAGGAAAGAUGAAGAACAGGGCUCAAGUAGUACAAAUUAAUCCCCUUGGUUCCUUGCUAAGCACAAAUUUGUUGUGGAAAAUAGCUGACAUAAAAGAGGAACAAUCACUAGUGUUGUAAAGGUGAAAAGCUUAUUUGCUAAAGUUUUUGGAAUUAUUCUUAUUCUUGCUCACUAUAAUUAAUUUCAGCCUAAUUAAUAGAAUAGAAGCAUGACAAAGAAAGAACCAAAAUAAUUUUGUGCAACUUGACUAAAGAUGAUGAAAUUAUGUUACAAGAUUAUAAGAUUCUAAAGAACAUGAACCCAAAAGAUUAAAAAUCAUAAUAUAAAGGAAUAGGCAGUUCAAUUACCUGGUUAAAUGAGACAAUGAAUGGGUACGUCUCCUCUCCUUAGAGGGUCUUGGUUAUAUUGGUGGAAUGGAAGAUUAAUAUCUCCUUCUAGAAUUUGUCAAGAACAGAGCAAAAUCAGAUCUCUCUGCUGGCAAAAUAAUACUAAUUGACGAUGUGGAGCAACAAAACUUGUCACACGCCCUAUAUCUACUUUCUUAUAUUUAUAUUUCAAAGGAGAAUUAAUCCAAUUUAGAAAAGUCAUGAAUCAUAAUUUCUUGUUGCCGAAAUAGGAAGAUUUGGUUAUAGAAGAAACUACGCACAACAAGUUCAGCACUUUUGUUCUUUUUUAUAAUUAAGAAACAAACAUAACCCAAAAAGACAUAUGUUUAAGCAAUCAAUAUUGCAAGAAUAAAGGAGACGGUAGAAUGAUUGCAAGGGCUAAAGCCAUAUAUAGUAGGGGAAAGGAUAUGAAACCUGUUUCCUUCUUCAAAUUAUUUGGAAAGAUGGAGCUGAACAGGUUCUGAGCCACAAACCUCUUGGAAUUUUAUGUGGAAAAGUAACUGACAUGAAAGAAGGAGAAUCAAUAGUGUUAUGAUAAAGCUGAAACUCUUCACUUGUAGCCUAUGGGUCUAGUUUCUACUCAUUAAUGGAGAGAAUUAUUGAAUUAGGAAGCAAAAAAGAAUAUAAAGUCGGCAACUCAAUGCAAAGUCAUGAUAGGAGUUGCGAAGUCACUUUCCUUGAAUUCAAUAAAAAAACUGGCCACUUGUCCUCUCUAUAAUUCCAAUAUUGUCCUCACAAAUUUCUUUAUGUGUUAAGGAAAAGACCAUAAAUACGUAGAGAUGUUAAAACAGUGUAUCGGCUGAAUAACCAAGCUACUGUUUACUGCAAUAGAACCUUGACAUGACAUAAUUACACGUAUAAAAUUAUUCUUACUAAUAAUAAAGGUUUAAAUAUUGGUCAAGUAAUUUUGGUUGGACCACACUUGACUUUUUACUUAUAAAAAAUUUAGAAUUAUUUGUAAAAAUUAUUUUAUUCAUAACUUUUAAUAUUCAAAAAGCUUGUAAAAUAGUAAAAGAUAAAAUCAGAAAAGCAAAGCAGAGAAGAAACAAUACCAAGAAGAUAGCAACUAGCAAAAUCUUCUAUCCAAAGAGAAUGAAUUUUUGGAGCAAAAACAAAAUUAAAAAAUGGCCAAGUCAAUGCCACAAGUCGUUGCUGAGGUUUCCAAGUAACUUCCCUCGAAACAUGAUAUAUAUAAAUGCAUAUUUCCUAUUUUUUGUCGUUCGGAACAUAGAAUUUUCCUUUAUUUUUAAUCUAUUCUCACUUUGUAAAUUUUGUUUGACCAUUGGCUUUCUGAAUCUAAUCUAACCUCGUAUAAUUUCAUCAUGAGGUUUGUAUAUUAAUAAUGAUCAUUGAAGAAUCUAAAAUUAACAAUUAUCAAGUGGCCACUAAAGAAAAACUAAAAUGAAGUAUACUUUGUGUGAAAAUUUUUACUUUAUUGUUCAGAGUCUAGUCUUCUAGAGAUCAUAUUCUAUCUUGUGUGUGACAGACACCAAUUCUUAAUGCUCUGCACUGAAAACGCAAUAUACAUUUGCUGAAUCGAAAUUUAUAUUCAAAAGGAGAAAUAAUCCAAUUUAAUAAAUUACUAAAAAUGUCAUGAAUUAUAAUUCCUUGUUGCUGAUAUAGAAAGAUUUGUUUAUAGAACAAACUAUGCCCAACAAGUUUAUCCCUUGAUAUAAGUAAUGAGAAAGGAAAGAGGCUUGUGCAUGAUGGGGAUUCAGCUUCUUGCUUAUCAGCCAUUUCAGAUUACUUCAAAAAAUGAAGGGGAACAGAUCAAUUCAUUCUCUUCCAGAAUAUCCUGUUUAUUAUUUCCAUGGUUAUCGGUAUCAUAUCUGUUUAUCAAACCGAUAUAUUAUCCUUCAACAAUUGAUUAUUUAUGUCCUUCAUGAUGGCAGUUUUCCUAUGCCACCUAUUCUGCGUACUGUAAUCAUUCAAACCUCAUCACUCAUCAAAUACUCCCAAAUUCGUUCUUUAAUUUUACAUCGAUUUUAACUUUUAGAUUUGGUGUUGGUAAUGUCACCCAGGUAGCUAGAGGCCGCAUACUGUCAAGGAAACUACCUUGUUACAUUUCCUUCUUCAAUCCUUCAGCAAACAAAUAAAUUUGCUAGCAUAAAUCAAACAAAAAUCAAACUUUAUUAGAUUUAGCAAUACAUCCAAUUUCCAAAUAAAAUAAAACGGAUACAAGAUACCAUCCACUAACAGUGACACAACUCCUGCAAACAAUUCAAAAUAUAUUACAGCAUAACAAUAUUCCUCCCCUUCCCACCCCAUUUAUUUACAAUGUAUCCCAACCGGCCAAUCGGCAGGCAAAGUUGGGUAAGGGGAGUGUUGCUUCCUCGAUUACUUGCAAGUGACGUAUACUUCCACUACACCACAAUCACCAUCUAUUCUCUUGGAUUGGGUUCCGACCAGUGCAUCAAAGUGUAAACUGACAAUGUUGUGAGGCGGAAGCGUAUCUUUUUCUGCCAUCGAAUAAACUUUCCUCCUUUAAAGUGAUCUAACUUGAUAAUGUUGGUAGCUAUCUCUUUAAGUGAAGCCAUUUUGAAUGCUAAGAAAAUAAGUCUUAAAAUUGUUGGUACAAAUGGGGUUUAAAUGGAAUUCAAAAACUAGCAUAAUUGACUUCAAGACAAGCCUUUCAAUAGAAGUUAUAUUUAAAUUUAUUUUGCCCCCACCACUCAGUAUGCAAAAGAGGAAUAAUGCGAAUAGCCUUAGGGAUACAAUGAAAUCAACAUCUAACUUCAUCUUACACUUUAUGAGAGUAGACCGCUAGAUACACCUGAGGAUUUACAAAAUUAUUUGGCUUUAGAGCUUACUUUUUGCAACAAGUAGAUUAUAAGGAAUUUGGACGCUUUUGUAGUUGAUGGGAACUUAAGUGUUUACGUUAAUAGAACAAAAUAUUUUUCUUACUCUUUGAUAUUUCUGCUCUUGUUUUGUUUUUGAUUUGAUGUCUCAAAAUGGUUGGCAACAAGCCCUUCCUAUAGGCUUCCUAUAGGCUUGCAAGUGUCUCUUCUUCAAUGACCCAACCCUUUCAUUAAGGCACCAUUUUGUCUAAAAGACAUCUUUACAUUUUGUUAGACAUAACUUUUGGAUAAAUGUAUUAUUUCAAUAGUCAUCUUAUGAAAAGAUAACUAUUCAUUCUAUAAAAUAUAAUCUUUGAGUUAUAAUUUGUAAUAAUAACAUUCCGUAUUUAACUUUUGAGCUAUGGUGUCUUUUUAAUUUAUCUCAUAACUUUUGAAUGUCAUUUUACUAAGAGACAUAACCAUUCAUAUGAAAACUUGCCUACAAUCCAAUAGACACACUAUGUCACUUUAUGUGACAUAACCUUUGAGCUAAGAUAGCUUUUCAUUAUAUGAUACAAUCUUUGAUUUUGAAAAUGCACCAACAACUUUGACCUUAUAAACAACUCUAAAACCACCUUCCCCUAGCUUGAUGUCCAUAGAAAAGCUAUCAGUAGCACGAGCUACGGUAGCAAGCUCCAAUAUUGGAAGCUCCAUGUCUUCAUCCUGGCCUUGAUUUUCUUGAUCAUUUUCCUUAUUGUCUUUAGUUUCUUUAAAACAGUAGCCAAAAUAGGCUUGGCAUUCACCAUAAAAUAUGAUAGAUUCUUAUGCAUUUUGAUUGAGCUAGAUAAUUGGACAAAAAGCUGAUGUGGUUUUUGAGAUCACACAAAACCAUGUAUCUCCAGUUAUUUGCUUCAUUAACAACUCUAUUUUGACACCGAUAAGCAUUGAAGAAACUGCGUGUUGAUUUGCUAGCAUCAUUACUAACAAAGGAACAAAAUGAGCAUUAUUUGUGAAGGAUAUUUCAAAGUUACGUCUGAACUUUCUGGGGCUUCUAUAAAUGUAAUAACUGACAAUAAACAGCCCCAAAACCACAGCACAGUAGUGUUCCAAUCACUGCAGCAAGCUCCAUCCUGAGCUUAUCUUUCAAUUCUGUAUGACAGAAUUUGAUAAAGAAAAGCAUAUAUGAACAAAAAAAAGUAGUGAAAACAAGAGAAAAUGUAAACUCAUACCUGAUUUUGGAGCAGACACUCUAACAUAUAGGUCCUGCCCUACUGAUUGAAAUUUUCUGUAAUCAAUCAAAUUACCAAACCAAAAGGCGCAUCCCCAAACUCUUCCUCCAUUAUCUGAACUAGUGUAUGCUUGGCUUUCUACAUUCCAUGUGAAGUCCUGUAUCAUCAGUUUGGUUCAGAACAAGUCCUGUGAUCAAUGAUUUCUAUUUGAGACAUUUUGUAUGGUUGAAAUAUAAAAUAGAAAUACCCGGACAUUGAAGAGAUAUUGAAGAGAAUUUGCAGGAAUCAUAACUCCAAAACCACAAAUGCUUUUCAGCUCUGGUAAUUUCAAUAAGGAAAGUUUCCUUAAUUUGGGAAGAAUGAAUGUUAUGCUAACAGCCCUUCCUUCUCCUCUGUUAUUUUCUCCCUCCUCUUCUGAUUCUAUUAUUUGCUCCAUUUUUUCACAAAGCCUGACAUCAAUUUCCUCCAAAUUUUGAAAACACUGCAACAGCUUAAUUGAACACAACUUCUUCAUCCUCGAACAGUUUCUCAAGUAAAAACUUUUGAGAGAAGAGAAAAUGGCAGGUGGUGUUGGGAUCUGAGAUGGAGAUACACAUAGAUUCAUGGUUUUCAUGAAUAAGAUAAAAAUGUUAUGAUCACCAUUUAAACAUAAUAUAUAUAUAUAUUUAGAGUAAUCACACUAAUCAUAUCAAAUUAAACUCAUACUCAUAAUUUGCACGCAACAUCAAAUCACCAAAUCUUAUAUAGAUAAUUUAAACUAUUAAUCUUGUUUAAUUAUAUUUGUAUUCAUCAUUUGAAGGGCUUUGUAAAUUUGUAAAGUAAACAACAAUAAGCAAUAAUUAUGUUUAUUUUCAAUAUCUUGGUACUGAUACAUCACUUCCCAAAUAUGCUUUCCUUUUCUUUUUCAUAUAUAGACAUUGUUUUAUUUGGAGAUUGUAGCUAGCUAGACACCAUUAUUGCCAGUCCAAGAGGUGACACUUUGGAGAUUGAAUAGCAUUUAAUUUUCAGGUGUUUUGGUCUUGAGAUGAGUGGCAACAUUAAUUCUUUUGGAUCUGUUGAAUUAGCUUUUGUAUAUAAAAGAAGGUAUACCUCCUCAAACAUGGAAAAUCCCCUUUCAAACCCAUAAUUUUAAAGAAAGAAAAUCCUAAUUUAAUAGAUUAGUUGCCAACUAAGGACAAGCAUUGUUGAUGUGACAUUUAUUUUGGUAUAUUCUAACACUCGUUGACUAGAUUCAAUUGGAUAGGAUUCUUAAUUUUGAUGAGAUUUAUGGGUAGUGAUUAAACAAUGGAAGUGUUGACAAUGGAGGUUCUAAGUCCCUUGCAUCUAAGAAAGAAAUGAAUUUGUUCAAUUGACACUGCUUUGGUACAUAUAGAAAGUAAGCUAAUACCAUAGCCAUAUUUCUUACGUGACUUCCAACAAAUUUGAGACUUCAGUAUGGCAAAAUAUUGGGUAUUUGAAUAAAUUACAAUACAAAUAGAGAAAGAAAAAAGAAAGAGACUAAAUAGAAAGGGGAAGUGGAAAGAUCCCCAAAAUCAAUUAAUUGUAAGUGGAAGGAGCAAAGCCCAACUUUGUUGGCAACAAAGUCAUGUUCCCACAGAUGAUUUUGUUCUUGUUGCAGAGCGUUGUCAAUAAUAUUUACUUCCAGGCUGUCUUUUGGUAAAUAGAAGCCGAUAAUGGUUCUCUGGAUCAAGCUCAAAUAUAGCUCCAUCUUCAAAAAUGAAUUGCAAAUCCUGACACUGAAGACAAAAUCAAGCCUUGUUAUUGCUUUUAAUAAAAGCAAAUAAAAUUUGAAGGGUGUUCAGCUGGGCAAUUACUAGUUCCCAAGUAACAGUUUUAACUGCUACUUUCCUGUACCAAAUUCCCAAGCAACGAUUCUUAGAGCUUCCAGGACUAAAGAAACCAAGCUCAAGGAUUCCGUCCAUCACUAACAGACUGGGAGGAGGCGGAGAUAUCGAUUCCAUCAGCAAUACUUGAAAACAAUAUUAGUAAAACAGUGUUGGUGAACAUGGAAGACAGAAUGUCCUUUUAAACUUUCAGAGCUUGUAAAACUCAUAGAAAAACUUUUCAGUUUGGCAGAUUUUAGAGAGCAAACAUAUUUAAACUGAUGAUCGUUGACUAGUAUGCAAAUCUUCCUUGAAAAGACCAAACUUUUCAGGUUGCAUAGAAUUCUUAUUUCUAAUUUUUAUGAAGCUUCAGUGCAGUCAUCUUGUAUUGUCUCUGUGAAUCAAAUAUAUAAAUAAAUAUAUAUAUAUAUAUAUAUAUAUAUUACCCACAAAUAGACACUUGCAGGGCGCUAAGCUCAAACUGGGACUAAACCACUGGUAUCAAAGCAUAAGGUACAUGACAUACUGACUGAUAGCCUAUAAUAAUGGCUUGGAGAUAAAAGAGCUAAGUAUACAGUUUAUCAAUUAUCAAGCAUCUAGUACUGACAGAGUUAUUUCAUUUGUGGGAGACGAUACAUUCUUGUCUGAUGAAGAAUCUUAUUCAAGUGGACUUUUCUUAAACAAAACACCAGGUUGUUUGGGGUGUGGCAAUUCAUUUUCGCUUCCCAAUGUCAGAAUCACAAAUGACAUACUUGGCCUAUCCUCUGGAUAUGCUGUUGUAAACUUAAACGACUGAUAAUGGAUGAAUUGUAUCACUUCUGAUAGAUUGCAAAGACUCUCCUAAGCAUUCGUCAACAAGUUUUAAAGGACUGCCUUAUUUACAUAAUCUUCAUGCCUGCAGCAAAUUGAAACCCUUUUAGGUUUUAUCAAUCCAAGAUAGGCAACAAAAAAUUGAUUAUAAAAAUAUCUGCUGAAACUGACAUGUUCAACAAGGUUGCCGCUUUGUGUUGGAUGGUAAAGCCCUCUAUUUUUUCUUCCCACUUAUUAUCUCCAUCAAUAAUAUACCAAAGCUAAAGAGAUCUGAUUUUACUGGAAGCAGUCCAUCAAUAGCAUAUUCCGUGCCAUAUAACCACUGCAGAACAUUAUCAAAAGCAAUAAAUAUAUGAGGGUAUGUAGACAUUAUGAAAAUAAAGUGAAAGUUAGUAAGUUCCAACCACUCUUUUAGCGUUCCCUUCAGUUUGGUCUCCUCCAAAAGUUCUAGCCAGUCCAAAAUCUGAAACUUUUGGAUUCAUCUCACUAUCAAGCAGAACGUUAUUAGUUUUGAGAUCUCUGUGAAUAAAAAAAAAUUAUUCAAAUGAAAUGGCAAAGAAUCUAAUUAACUCGUUUGAAGAAACUUUGGAUUUGCUAGCAUCACCAUUAACAAAGUGUUUUUUUUUUUUUUGUUUAUUUUGCAAAGGACAACUUGGCACGAUCUCUGUAAAGGAAAUGACUGACAGUGAACAACCCCAAAAGCACAACACAGUGUUAAUGCAGGAAGUUUUAUCCUAAGCUUAUCUUUCAAUUCUGUAUGAUGAAAUUUGAUAAAGAAAAGCAUACAUGAACAAAAACAAAAAAAGCAUUGAAAACAAGAGAAAAUGUAGACUCCUACCUGAUUCUGAAGCAGACAUUUUAACAUAUAGAUCCUGCCCUUUUGAUUGAAAUUGUCUGUAAUCAAUCAGAUGAUGAAACCGAAGGGCUCAACCACUACCUAUUCCUCUGUUAUCUGAACUAGUGUAUGCCAUAUAGGAAUAGUUCUACAGAUACUUAGCCCUGCGUCCCUUAAAAUUCAUACUUUUAGUUACCCAAGAAUGUGUAGCAUCUUGCAUUUUCAAAUCUUUUAAAUCUGACAAAUCCAUCUCUACUUUGGCAGUUGAAUGGCUUAUUGUGCUUACACCUUUGGGACCAGUCUGAUGAGUUCUAUCUUUCGGGAAAUUCAGGCUUAAACAUCAGCUUUCAGGGAAUUAAGGCUUGAAUCCUUUAAAAAGUGCAAGCUGAGCACCAUCACGAUUCCUUUUUGAACCACAAAGUCCAUAUCUGUCACAGUAGUCUCUUGGAGCAAAUGAGAAAAGCAUCCAAGCUUGCUUUCUGCAUUUCAUGUGUAGUCCUGUGAUCAAUGAUUUCUAUUUGAGACGCUUUGGAUGGUUGACAUAUAUAAUAGAAAUACCAGGUGGGUAGAUCAUGCAUUGUUUUCAUAAGAUGAUGUGAUUGAGUGACUUUUGAUGAAUGCAGAAUACACAAAGUGCAGCAGAAAACAAAUUAUAAACAUUGAGGUCCCAGAUAAUUUGUAUUUUUCAAUAAUAUGCAGCUUGUUCCUCUAAUCAUUCUCUUGAGUGGACAAACAUAACUUCAAUGACUUACUUGUAUUAAAUGAUUUCCAAUUCAUGAACCAGUUGAGACCAGUGUGGAUGCGUUUUCUCACAUCUGAUAGGUUGCAGGACAGUCCUAAGAAUUCACCACCGAGUUCAACAGGGGUGCCUUCCUCUCAUAAUCUCCAUGCCUGCAGCAAAUUGAAAACCUUUUAGUCAUUUUAUUAAAGUAUUUUAAUUCAUAAUAAUUAAAGUAUUUUAUUUAAGUGUUAAAGUUCUAUUUAUAGUAGUAGUAAUUAUUAUUAUUAUUAUUAUUAUUAUUAUGAGUGUGUGUGUGUGUCUUUUUUUGUUUUAAAAUUUGAAAAAAAAAAUUAAAACCAAAUUUGAAAAAUGUGAGUGAAAAUGAAAAUAAAGGAAAGGGGUAGGACGUGUCAGAUAGCAAUUGGCUGAGAUAUGCAGAUUGAAGGGUGUUUAGUUGGAGAUUUUUCUAUCAUUCAUAAAAUUAAAGACUUGGUUUUAUGUUUAUAUUAAAAAAGAGAAAUUAUUUAGCAAAUGAGAAAUUAAGAGAUAAAAAUAUUUAGCAAAUGAGAAAGAGAUGAAAAUAAACUCACAAUUAAUGUUUGCUGUUUUUAAUAAGAAGCAAGAGCCUUGCACCCUCAUUUAAUCAAACACCUCUUCUCCAUCUCAUUCUACCAAUACUGAACAAAGGGAGAAAGGACAUCCUUAGCAUCAGGCUGAUCCCAUUCCACUGAUUCCCACCAUUCUCUCGGGCUUACUAUGAUUCGUUUUAGAAAAGGAGGAGGCAAUGGUUUCCCAUUUUCAACAAGGGGAAGAGACAAUGGGAUCCUCUUUACUUCUGGACAAUCGAAUAAUGUGACAUGUUGGAGAGAAUCUACAGGAAUCACAAGUCCACCACGGCAUAUGCUUUUCAAUUUUGGUAAUUCUUCCAAGACUAAUGAUUUUAAUUUGGGAAGAAUAAAUGUUGUUCCUUCUCGUUCCUGAUUUUCUUCUGAUGCUAUUAUUUCCUCCAUUUCAUAACAAUUUCCAACUAUAAUUUCCUCUAAGUUUUGGAGGCUUUGCAACAGCUCAACUGGAUACAACUUCUUAAUCUCGUAACAAGAAUACAGUUUCAGUGUUUUAAGAGAAGAGAAGAAGGCAGGUGGUGUUGGAGCAUGAGAGGUAGAUUCAAUUUCUGCUGCUACUCCUACUCUCACAACUUCACGCAAGUUCCACAAUGACUCAAGCCAUAGCUCCUCAACGUUGUGAAGUGCGUUGCAAGACCAUGAUGACAAGUCAACCACACACUCUAUCCCUUCACACCUCCGAAUUCUACAUUUCUUCAAGUCAGUUGCCUUACGAAACAAAGGAAUAUGGCUUAAACAUUUGAAAUCAUUACACCCCUCAAUACGUAAAGUAUGAAGGUCAUUUGGGAGCACUACAUCGUCACACCUUUCUAUCUCCAAAUUUGUGAAUUCAACAUUUUUCUCAAUUUCGUUGAAAUCUGGGGAAUACCCAAUAUAAAUAUUCACAUCUGGUCCCACUUGAAAAUCGAAAGAUGUAGGCCAUUUACCUUGUGUAGACUCUGCAUAUUUCUUAAACUCUUGCAUGUCGCAAAAUGAACAUGAAACACACUCAAGCUUCCUCAAUUUGCCUACUUCUUCCCCCCUUAAAUGUAACUCCACCAGUAAGCAUUGCAGAUGAGAAAUCUUCACUAAUAUUCCCAUUGGUAGCUCCUUUAGAUGCGUUGACCCUAGACGAAAAUAUCUAAGGUUUUGUAACAUUUCUAUACCAUGAGGAAACUCCUCAAUGCUUGUACUAAAAAGGUCCAACUUUCUCAGUGCUCUGAGCUCUGCUAAUGAAGGCACAUAUUUUAACAUGUGACAAUUAGCAAGUAUCAAUGCAUUGAGAUUUUUC
This 32878-nucleotide long non-coding RNA is filed under the name Theobroma cacao (cacao). RNAcentral describes it as "long non-coding RNA (TCAC_LNC004223)". The record is from RNAcentral. Lineage: Eukaryota; Viridiplantae; Streptophyta; Magnoliopsida; Malvales; Malvaceae.